UGUAAUAUGUAAGUGAUUUGAUGGUGGAGACAGGAAAUCACGGAAAGAGACAUAUUGAGUGUGUGAGCUUGUGUUUCCGCAUUGCGAGCAGGAGGUGACUAGUGUUUAGACAAACAUAUUAGCGCACAUUACGUACCUGUGCUGUUCGGCAAUUACGAAGAAUACCAGAUCGACGCUUGGUGGCUUAGGAGGGCAAUCAUGGACUGCAAGGGAACUAGUUGGGUGAAAAAAGAGAAGAAUGAAAUAUAUGCUGAACCAGAAUCCUUGUUUAUUGAAGGUCCGCUAAAGAUUGUAAUGCCUAGUCUCCAUAUAAAGCAAGACCAAGAACUGAAACAGGAGGAUGGCAUUGAGCGUGAUGUAAGUUUUCACAUCAGU
This 375-nucleotide long non-coding RNA is filed under the name Schistocerca americana (American grasshopper). RNAcentral describes it as "uncharacterized LOC124554184, transcript variant X2". The record is from RNAcentral. Lineage: Eukaryota; Metazoa; Arthropoda; Insecta; Orthoptera; Acrididae.